RNAcentral lists this ribosomal RNA (460 nucleotides) under uncultured bacterium. RNAcentral's name for it is "partial 16S ribosomal RNA". It matches the Rfam family "Bacterial small subunit ribosomal RNA", at positions 338 to 795 of the family's 1533-position model. The record is from RNAcentral.
CCUACGGGAGGCAGCAGUGAGGAAUAUUGGUCAAUGGACGAGAGUCUGAACCAGCCAAGUAGCGUGAAGGAUGACUGCCCUAUGGGUUGUAAACUUCUUUUAUAUGGGAAUAAAAUGUUCCACGUGUGGGAUUUUGUAUGUACCAUAUGAAUAAGGAUCGGCUAACUCCGUGCCAGCAGCCGCGGUAAUACGGAGGAUCCAAGCGUUAUCCGGAUUUAUUGGGUUUAAAGGGAGCGUAGGUGGAUUGUUAAGUCAGUUGUGAAAGUUUGCGGCUCAACCGUAAAAUUGCAGUUGAAACUGGCAGUCUUGAGUACAGUAGAGGUGGGCGGAAUGCGUGGUGUAGCGGUGAAAUGCUUAGAGAUCACGAAGAACUCCGAUUGCGAAGGCAGCUCACUGGACUGCAACUGACACUGAGGCUCGAAAGUGUGGGGAGCAAACAGGAUUAGAUACCCUAGUAGUC